This is a long non-coding RNA of Mauremys reevesii (Reeves's turtle), 1324 nucleotides long. RefSeq lists it as uncharacterized. Lineage: Eukaryota; Metazoa; Chordata; Testudines; Geoemydidae. The transcript has 4 exons. The record is from RefSeq and is a predicted model, not a curated record.
GCGCGGAGCCCUCCCGGCAGGCGGCGCGGAGGUCGGGGCCGCGGGUCUGGAGUGGAGCUGCGGUGAAUGGGGAUUUCUUCAGUGGCCUUCAAAGAACUCUUGCCAUACCAGUCAGGGGAUCUCCACUCCGGGGGACAUGGUUCUGGUAACAAAAGAGCAGAGGGAGCGGUGCCCAGAGAGUGAGAAAGCUCAGCCAUAAACCUCGCUCCAAGCCGAAACUUAGCAUAGAGGGCCUCUGUGGUUGAUUUGCAGGAAGGGGAUUUCUACAGUGGGCAUGGGAGUCUCAGAAAGGUGCUGCCAUCUCUCAGCAAGAUCUAACCCUGCCAGCCUGCUCUUCUCGGCUGUGAGGUCUGGCACAGACAAAGCCAAAGCGAGACUGAGUCAUAACAAAAACAAGGCACCGCCCAUUAUUUCAACACUAUGGAGUGACUGCUGCGGCGUGAUCUCAAGUGCCAAACAACAGAUGAAUCCCAUCCGGUUAAUUGUUGCCCCGGCCAGUCAGAUGCAGGUUGCUUGGUCUUGCAAUGAAGGACAAAAGUCCUUUCUUCUUCUCUUUGUUGCAUGUAACAAAGAUGGUUUGAUGCAGAUGGGAUCAGGCCCACAGCUGAUCCCCCCUGCCCCCCGCCGCUCAGCUGGGCUCAGCUGGUGCAUCCUGGAGAAUAGAAAAAUAAUGUUUGUUAUGUUUCAGGCUGUUGGGGCUGUAAUUUGGAUUUGUAUGUAGUCUCUUCUUCUCCAUUGAGGGUCUUUCCCCCCUUUGUGCUCUCCUGUUUGCAUUGCUCAGAGGUGCGAAGAGGGAACAUUCUGGCCUGGUUAGAGAGACAGACACAUAGUGACAAAAAGGGAGCCAGGAGGAGAAACGUUUUGGAUGUGAGAUCUUUGUCUGCCCAGGGGGAGAGUCUAUUACACAAGGCUGGGCUGAGGCCACUGGAAGCUCUUUGUCACACUGAAUUUUAUUCACAAACCACGGAAACCCAUGUGCUUGGACAGCACAAACCGCUCCAGUGCAGGAGAUCCAGAGUCUGGGUGAUUUCGUCCUGGCCUGCUGCAGGAGCAAGAGCAGGGUGAAGCCAAAGUAGCCAGGUCUGCCCCAGGUUCAGAUGGACAAACUGCACUGCUCAGAAAAUAGCUUUUCUCUUUAUUUCCCAGGAGGGGAUGAACUCUUGGAGCCCACUGCUUCACCAGAUACUCCUGUUGUGGUGCAUUACGGUUAGUGGUAGCAGGGGCGGCUCUAGGUAUUUUGCCGCCCCAAGCACGGCAGGCAGGCUGCCUUCGGCGGCUUGCCUGCGGGAGGUCCCCGGUUCCACGGAUUUGACGGCAGCCUGCG